RNAcentral lists this ribosomal RNA (223 nucleotides) under uncultured bacterium. RNAcentral describes it as "partial 16S ribosomal RNA". It matches the Rfam family "Bacterial small subunit ribosomal RNA", at positions 116 to 334 of the family's 1533-position model. The record is from RNAcentral.
CGUAGGUAACCUGCCUGGUAGCGGGGGAUAACUAUUGGAAACGAUAGCUAAUACCGCAUAAUAGUAGAUGUUGCAUGACAUUUACUUAAAAGGUGCAAUUGCGUCACUACCAGAUGGACCUGCGUUGUAUUAGCUAGUUGGUGGGGUAACGGCUCACCAAGGCGACGAUACAUAGCCGACCUGAGAGGGUGAUCGGCCACACUGGGACUGAGACACGGCCCAG